RNAcentral lists this ribosomal RNA (3621 nucleotides) under Drosophila melanogaster (fruit fly). Its description in RNAcentral is "eukaryotic LSU rRNA". It matches the Rfam family "Eukaryotic large subunit ribosomal RNA". Lineage: Eukaryota; Metazoa; Arthropoda; Insecta; Diptera; Drosophilidae. The record is from RNAcentral.
UAUGUUAUUAUUCUUCGUUGGUUCGUUAAAAAUGGAUAAAUAAAAACUUUGCAUACAAGAAUUAAUAAAAAUGUUAUAACGAAUUUAAUUAAAUGUUUUAUCAUUAUAUAUAAAGAAUUUAUGGCAAGAUAAAGUUAUAUACAACCUCAACUCAUAUGGGACUACCCCCUGAAUUUAAGCAUAUUAAUUAGGGGAGGAAAAGAAACUAACAAGGAUUUUCUUAGUAGCGGCGAGCGAAAAGAAAACAGUUCAGCACUAAGUCACUUUGUCUAUAUGGCAAAUGUGAGAUGCAGUGUAUGGAGCGUCAAUAUUCUAGUAUGAGAAAUUAACGAUUUAAGUCCUUCUUAAAUGAGGCCAUUUACCCAUAGAGGGUGCCAGGCCCGUAUAACGUUAAUGAUUACUAGAUGAUGUUUCCAAAGAGUCGUGUUGCUUGAUAGUGCAGCACUAAGUGGGUGGUAAACUCCAUCUAAAACUAAAUAUAACCAUGAGACCGAUAGUAAACAAGUACCGUGAGGGAAAGUUGAAAAGAACUCUGAAUAGAGAGUUAAACAGUACGUGAAACUGCUUAGAGGUUAAGCCCGAUGAACCUGAAUAUCCGUUAUGGAAAAUUCAUCAUUAAAAUUGUAAUAUUUAAAUAAUAUUAUGAGAAUAGUGUGCAUUUUUUCCAUAUAAGGACAUUGUAAUCUAUUAGCAUAUACCAAAUUUAUCAUAAAAUAUAACUUAUAGUUUAUUCCAAUUAAAUUGCUUGCAUUUUAACACAGAAUAAAUGUUAUUAAUUUGAUAAAGUGCUGAUAGAUUUAUAUGAUUACAGUGCGUUAAUUUUUCGGAAUUAUAUAAUGGCAUAAUUAUCAUUGAUUUUUGUGUUUAUUAUAUGCACUUGUAUGAUUAAACAAUGCGAAAGAUUCAGGAUACCUUCGGGACCCGUCUUGAAACACGGACCAAGGAGUCUAACAUAUGUGCAAGUUAUUGGGAUAUAAACCUAAUAGCGUAAUUAACUUGACUAAUAAUGGGAUUAGUUUUUUAGCUAUUUAUAGCUAAUUAACACAAUCCCGGGGCGUUCUAUAUAGUUAUGUAUAAUGUAUAUUUAUAUUAUUUAUGCCUCUAACUGGAACGUACCUUGAGCAUAUAUGCUGUGACCCGAAAGAUGGUGAACUAUACUUGAUCAGGUUGAAGUCAGGGGAAACCCUGAUGGAAGACCGAAACAGUUCUGACGUGCAAAUCGAUUGUCAGAAUUGAGUAUAGGGGCGAAAGACCAAUCGAACCAUCUAGUAGCUGGUUCCUUCCGAAGUUUCCCUCAGGAUAGCUGGUGCAUUUUAAUAUUAUAUAAAAUAAUCUUAUCUGGUAAAGCGAAUGAUUAGAGGCCUUAGGGUCGAAACGAUCUUAACCUAUUCUCAAACUUUAAAUGGGUAAGAACCUUAACUUUCUUGAUAUGAAGUUCAAGGUUAUGAUAUAAUGUGCCCAGUGGGCCACUUUUGGUAAGCAGAACUGGCGCUGUGGGAUGAACCAAACGUAAUGUUACGGUGCCCAAAUUAACAACUCAUGCAGAUACCAUGAAAGGCGUUGGUUGCUUAAAACAGCAGGACGGUGAUCAUGGAAGUCGAAAUCCGCUAAGGAGUGUGUAACAACUCACCUGCCGAAGCAACUAGCCCUUAAAAUGGAUGGCGCUUAAGUUGUAUACCUAUACAUUACCGCUAAAGUAGAUGAUUUAUAUUACUUGUGAUAUAAAUUUUGAAACUUUAGUGAGUAGGAAGGUACAAUGGUAUGCGUAGAAGUGUUUGGCGUAAGCCUGCAUGGAGCUGCCAUUGGUACAGAUCUUGGUGGUAGUAGCAAAUAAUCGAAUGAGACCUUGGAGGACUGAAGUGGAGAAGGGUUUCGUGUGAACAGUGGUUGAUCACGAGUUAGUCGGUCCUAAGUUCAAGGCGAAAGCCGAAAAUUUUCAAGUAAAACAAAAAUGCCUAACUAUAUAAACAAAGCGAAUUAUAAUACACUUGAAUAAUUUUGAACGAAAGGGAAUACGGUUCCAAUUCCGUAACCUGUUGAGUAUCCGUUUGUUAUUAAAUAUGGGCCUCGUGCUCAUCCUGGCAACAGGAACGACCAUAAAGAAGCCGUCGAGAGAUAUCGGAAGAGUUUUCUUUUCUGUUUUAUAGCCGUACUACCAUGGAAGUCUUUCGCAGAGAGAUAUGGUAGAUGGGCUAGAAGAGCAUGACAUAUACUGUUGUGUCGAUAUUUUCUCCUCGGACCUUGAAAAUUUAUGGUGGGGACACGCAAACUUCUCAACAGGCCGUACCAAUAUCCGCAGCUGGUCUCCAAGGUGAAGAGUCUCUAGUCGAUAGAAUAAUGUAGGUAAGGGAAGUCGGCAAAUUAGAUCCGUAACUUCGGGAUAAGGAUUGGCUCUGAAGAUUGAGAUAGUCGGGCUUGAUUGGGAAACAAUAACAUGGUUUAUGUGCUCGUUCUGGGUAAAUAGAGUUUCUAGCAUUUAUGUUAGUUACUUGUUCCCCGGAUAGUUUAGUUACGUAGCCAAUUGUGGAACUUUCUUGCUAAAAUUUUUAAGAAUACUAUUUGGGUUAAACCAAUUAGUUCUUAUUAAUUAUAACGAUUAUCAAUUAACAAUCAAUUCAGAACUGGCACGGACUUGGGGAAUCCGACUGUCUAAUUAAAACAAAGCAUUGUGAUGGCCCUAGCGGGUGUUGACACAAUGUGAUUUCUGCCCAGUGCUCUGAAUGUCAAAGUGAAGAAAUUCAAGUAAGCGCGGGUCAACGGCGGGAGUAACUAUGACUCUCUUAAGGUAGCCAAAUGCCUCGUCAUCUAAUUAGUGACGCGCAUGAAUGGAUUAACGAGAUUCCUACUCCCUCGAAUGGAGUGCCAGAACCCGUUGGUGUGCUGGAGGAGACGUUUUCAUCGCUGGAGGAUGCCCGGGCGGCUACGUCAAGCGCUGCCAACGAUGCUGCCCCCCCCGCUGCUGCCCCCGCUGUUGAUCACACUGUUGCCCCUGAUGUUUCCACUGCUGCUAAAAUCGCUGCCACCACUGCCACCGCUGCCACCGCUGCCGCCCGUGCUGGGCAAGCAGCCAUGAUGGCAGAGCUGUCGGCCACCCAGCGCAUUGGUGCGAAACAGUUUCCGCAGCCUAGGAGGCGUAGACACGGAAGAGCUCUCGUGUGCCAUCAGCCGCUAUGAUGAGCUGGUGAUGGCAUUAAUGCUCCGGUGUGGAGAACUGGAGACGCGGCUCGCUAUGCCACCACCGCCGCCGCCGCCGUCCAAGGCGAACACUACUGCCGCCAAUGCUCCCCAGAUGCCUCAGGUUGCACCCAUCGCUGCCCGCGGACAACCAAGGUUCGGGAGACGUGGUCAGCGGUGGUGAAGUGCGACGACCCUGCGCUAUCGGGGAAAGCCAUAGCCGAAAAGGUGCGGACGAUGGUUGCACCCUCCCUCGGAGUCAGAGUACACGAGGUACGUGAGCUCCGUCGAGGUGGUGGUGCGAUCAUUCGUACUCCUUCGGUUGGAGAGCUGCAGAAGGUGAUGGCAUCGAAAAGAUUCGCAGAACUUGGACUGAAUGUGGCACGGAACGCGGCCGAGAAGCCGAAGGUCAUAGUCUAUGACGUCGACACAGCCAUCGGCCCAGAA